AGAAUGAACGGAGUCAGACCAUCACACGAACAUUAACCUUGAGAUACAGGGGGUAUAAAUGACUCAUGCUACAUAGACUAGUGUUCUGAUGCAACCAGCAAUCACAAAACAAAUCACAAAUCAAAUGCAUCUAGGGAAAAUUGUAAUAUUAAGAUCGGUGCUAAGCAGUAAGUUAAGGGGAGAUGGACCUUGUCAGCAGCACCACGCCGAGCUGCAAACCCCAGGAUGCGGAUGCCGCCCCAGGGUCCAUGCUAUCUUCACUUGGCGAAUCAACCAAUGCU
This 281-nucleotide ribosomal RNA is filed under the name Triticum aestivum (bread wheat). Its description in RNAcentral is "partial small subunit ribosomal RNA". Lineage: Eukaryota; Viridiplantae; Streptophyta; Magnoliopsida; Poales; Poaceae. The record is from RNAcentral.